GUAAGGAAUAUUGGGCAAUGGGCGGAAGCCUGACCCAGCCAUCCCGCGUGCAGGAUGACGGCCCUAUGGGUUGUAAACUGCUUUUAUUGGAGAAGAAAGAAGUGCAUUUAUGUGCUUUUGACGGUAUCCUAUGAAUAAGCACCGGCUAACUCCGUGCCAGCAGCCGCGGUAAUACGGAGGGUGCAAGCGUUAUCCGGAAUCACUGGGUUUAAAGGGUGCGUAGGCGGCUUGAUAAGUCAGAGGUGAAAGCUGGCAGCUUAACUGUCAAACUGCCUUUGAUACUGUUGAGCUUGAAUCAGGUUAAGGUAGGCAGAAUGUGGCAUGUAGCGGUGAAAUGCAUAGAUAUGCCAUAGAAUACCAAUUGCGAAGGCAGCCUGCUGGGCCUGAAUUGACGCUGAGGCACGAAAGCGUGGGGAGCAAACAGGAUUAGAAACCCUGGUAGUCC
Molecule: ribosomal RNA, 445 nt
Filed under: uncultured bacterium
Lineage: Bacteria
Description: bacterial SSU rRNA
Rfam family: Bacterial small subunit ribosomal RNA
Source: RNAcentral